Molecule: ribosomal RNA, 468 nt
Filed under: uncultured bacterium
Lineage: Bacteria
Description: partial 16S ribosomal RNA
Rfam family: Bacterial small subunit ribosomal RNA
Source: RNAcentral
GACGAACGCUGGCGGCGUGCUUAACACAUGCCAGUCGAACGGCAACGCCCUGCUUUUUUGGUCUUCUCGAGUGGCGAUCGGGUGAGUAACACGUGAACAUCCUGCUCUUCAUUUUGGUAUAACUUCACGUAACUGGGGCUACUACAGUAUAGCAUCUCCUGCUGCAUGGUGGGCGUUGGAUCUUUUCGGCGGGUGCGGAUGGAUUCGCGGCUUAUCAGCUUGUUGGUUGGGUGGUGGCUUACCCAGGAAUUGGAGGGUAGCCGGCAUGAGAGGGUGACCGGGGACAUGGGGACUAAGAUACGGCGCAGACUGGAACGGGAGGCAGCAGGGGGGAAUAUUGUACAAUGGGAGGAAGUCUGAGGCAGCAACGCUGGGGGUGUGAUGACGGUCUGUGGGGUGAAAAAAGCUUUAGGCUGUGACGAGGCGGGAGUGACGGUAAUGGGUAAAGAAGCACCGGCUAACUACGUG